AUUGGCUCUAUCGGGAUUACACGUGUAUGUCUCUGUCACACAAGCAUCAGUAGAUGGCAAAAAGAAGAGAAGCUAUGUCUAUGCUUAAUAAGCUAACGUU
This 100-nucleotide small nucleolar RNA is filed under the name Mus musculus (house mouse). RNAcentral describes it as "Small nucleolar RNA SNORA17". It matches the Rfam family "Small nucleolar RNA SNORA17", at positions 1 to 101 of the family's 132-position model. From Rfam's summary of the family: snoRNA ACA 17 belongs to the H/ACA family of snoRNAs and is predicted to guide pseudouridylation of the 28S rRNA at positions U4659 and U4598. It shares the same host gene together with ACA43. Lineage: Eukaryota; Metazoa; Chordata; Mammalia; Rodentia; Muridae. The record is from Rfam by way of RNAcentral.